UGUUCCUUGGAACAGGACGUCAUGGAGGGUGAGAAUCCCGUGUGGCGAGGAUCCCAGUUCUUUGUAGAGUGCCUUCGAAGAGUCGAGUUGUUUGGGAAUGCAGCUCUAAGUGGGUGGUAAAUUCCAUCUAAAGCUAAAUAUUGGCGAGAGACCGAUAGCGAACAAGUACAGUGAUGGAAAGAUGAAAAGAACUUUGAAAAGAGAGUGAAAAAGUACGUGAAAUUGUUGAAAGGGAAGGGCAUUUGAUCAGACAUGGUGUUUUGUGCCCCUCGCUCCUCGUGGGUGGGGGAAUCUCGCAGCUCACUGGGCCAGCAUCAGUUUUGGCGGCAGGAUAAAUCCCUGGGAAUGUAGCUCUGGCAUUUAUGUUGGAGAACUUAUAGCUCAGGGGAAUACUGCCAGCCGGGACUGAGGAAUGCGA
Molecule: ribosomal RNA, 418 nt
Filed under: uncultured Zygosaccharomyces
Lineage: Eukaryota; Fungi; Ascomycota; Saccharomycetes; Saccharomycetales; Saccharomycetaceae
Description: eukaryotic LSU rRNA
Rfam family: Eukaryotic large subunit ribosomal RNA
Source: RNAcentral